Molecule: non-coding RNA, 2276 nt
Organism: Petromyzon marinus (sea lamprey)
Lineage: Eukaryota; Metazoa; Chordata; Hyperoartia; Petromyzontiformes; Petromyzontidae
Source: RefSeq, a predicted model, not a curated record
UUCCUGCAGUCACGAAAGCUUCAAAUCAAGAUGGUAAUUUUACUUUAAAUUGUAUUUCAGUAUACUUACAAGAAAGAAUGGGGUUGACUGGUACGAGAAAGGCUGCUGCUGUCUGUCGUGUGUGGAGUUCAGCGAAGGACAUUUUCCCUCUACGGCCUGCACGCUCCCUAAAUCAGCGUUGGCCGCACUGUGGGCUCAUGAAUGCAGGGAACUGCUGCACGAUGCCCCGUGUAUCUUGGUUUCACCAAGGUGAUGGAUGGCGAUGUCCGGACGGCUCCCCGUGUAUGCGGCUUUGAGCCUGGAGCUGUUGUAUCGGGCCCUGCCGCUUGUUGAUGGGGGGGAGGGGUCGACCUUUGCGGGUUGACGGAGGAGAUGUCUUUAUUGGCGCUCGCCGUCCUUCAUCCUGCAGGGCGGAUCGCGCGACGGAAUGGCAGUCUCUUACGGCGUUCGCCGGCAUGCAUAACAGGAUUGGGGGCUUUUGUGGCCCAUGGCUGAAUCGAGACGCGAGGACUUGGCAGUUGCCGUCACCGGUGAACGAUGCUGUAGCUCGCGUAAGGUGAACUGGAGUUUCGGAGAAAAUGUGGUAUUCAAAGCUGGUUGACUGGAGUUAUUUGACAAUGUUUGCUUUAUUUACAAACGUUUCGGUGAAAAAAUGUUACGUUUAUAUUCAUGUUGAAUUCAAUAUUUUCGGAAUAAAAUAAACGAACCUCACGUGGACACCAUUGCUCCUAAUUUAAUUGUCCCUUCAUGGUUAGACGAGAAAUAUUCACCUGAUUUAGAUUUUGUGUAUAUUUUUUCAAUUGAUUGAAGAAAUCUAUAAGAAUUGCGAUUGAACAGUUAAUCAAUAAGGAAUACUAAUGUGUGACAUUCAUGCUCAUCAAUGUAUCUGUGUAGAGAACCUAACUCGAGACCAUGAUCCUUUAAAACCCUGUUGUACUUUAAUUAUCCCAAUGAAUUUUCACUGGAUUAUCUAUGUUGCAUUCAUAACGCAAUGCGGAAAAACACAUGUGAGGCUGUAUAUAGGAAUGAAUUUGAUUAUAUUUGUUUUCACUAAUGGUUGUGUCAUGACAUUAUCCUCAUGGAGCAAUAGUAGCCCAAUGAAUGCAGUCCCAUCAGAAAAACAAACUAACAGGGACAUAAAUGACCAAAAACUUUUGAAAUGUACUUAUCUGAAGCAGAUUUUGCCAAAUUUAAUAGAGGUUAAAAUGUAACUUUCAUCUUCUUCAUUUACAGACUAUGUUUUUUUAGAUGUGAAUAUGAUGAUGAUGAUGAUAAUAAUAAUAAUGCCAUUCUUGAUGGUAUUGAUGUUCAUUGUACAUAAGGAGACGUUCUCAACUUAAUUAUCUCAAUUAACAAAUCAAUCUAUUGCUCGUUAUGGGACGGAGUCGGUCUUUCUCAUGAAUUUAAAAUAAUUUGGAUGUUCAAAUGGCCGCAGAUGAAAUUUCAUGAGCACCGCAGUAAUGCUUACAGAAGAGAAAAUGCAAUUAACAAUCCGAAUCAUUCCUAAAAUGCUGUUCCCCAUUUCUUACGUAUGCAUUUAGACACAUGCAUUGAGAUCAUUUAGAUGAUUUUGGUGCUAUAAAUGUCCAAAUGAUGGGCGACUUUGUUUAGCUGCUAUCGUUUGUGGCCACGUCGCUUCUGAAAAGUGAAUACCUUCCUGGGGGUUGCCUGGCAGGAUGGCGACGGUUUAGUUUAAUUUUUGUAUGCGUUUGUGUGACUUGUUUAUCUUUGUUGUACUCUGCAUCACUACUAUCAUGUUUUUGUAUUGUUUGUUGUUGUAACGUUCUUACCCCACGCCCCUACUGGACUUCUGUGAAAAAGAGCUUUAUAGCUCAUCGGAUUUCUCCUGAAGUAUAAAUAAAUAUUCUGAUUCUGACCAAUGGCCCGAGUAUCUUCCUCUCCUCGCCAUCUUCAGUAACAGUGCCACGAAUUAUAUUUAUUUGUGUUUGCAGUGAUCAAUAUGCUUUGUCGAUCUCUCUGUACGUUCGUGCACGCAUAUCUGCCUACCUCAACACUUGUUUCCUGCCCUUGUAUAAACAUUUACAUACUUUAUAUCCAUAAUCCAUCACUUUUGCACACAUGCAUUAUAAAAAUUUUAAAAAUAAUGUCUUCAAUGAACAAGUCAAAGUCGUGUUUCGAACAUGCGACCGAAUAUUUUGCGCAUUUGUAAAAAAAAAAAUGUCACAUACGUCUUUAUACAGUUGAUAUAUCAAUUUGUGGUAUUGCCAUUAAUUCCCAUGUUUUGUGUAAAUCAGCAUCAGAUGCUGUUCCGUUUG